RNAcentral lists this ribosomal RNA (537 nucleotides) under Triticum aestivum (bread wheat). RNAcentral describes it as "partial small subunit ribosomal RNA". Lineage: Eukaryota; Viridiplantae; Streptophyta; Magnoliopsida; Poales; Poaceae. The record is from RNAcentral.
AUGAUCGGCGAGGAAUCGGGAUGCGUCUACUUCAAUGGGUCUCUGCAUCUGGCCGUCUGCCAUCCGGCGGUCAAGGUGGACCGGGAGGGAGUGGUACGCUCCAUGGUCACUUUUGACGCAGAGGGGGAAACCUGGAGGAGGAUCCGUAUGCCGAACACCAGCAACCACGGUUUCUUCGGGCUGUCGCGGGGGCGCCUAUACACCGCGCGUGUAGAAAAUCAAGGUAAAUGCCGGCUCUGGGUCUGGGUUCUCGAGGAUCAUGCUACCGGGCUGUGGACCCUGAGGUGUACUGCCAGCAUUCUUCAACUGCUAGGAAGCCCUUGCCGUGCACCCAACGAGUUCUACCAGCCGGUUGCGAUCCAUCCAGAGUGCAAUAAUCUGAUAUUCCUUCAAGAUGUGGCGCCGGAAGCAUUGCUUAUGUCCUACAAUAUGGACACCGGUGAACUGGAUGUUGUCUGCUCUCUUGGAGACCGCUGGGCGCAAAGAUUUCACCCGUACACUCCCUGUUUUGUGGAGAGGCCGCCCGUUCCUCCGUGA